CCGGCGACCGGCGCACGGGUGAGUAACACGUAUGCAACCUGCCCUCCGCAGGGGGAUAACCCGGAGAAAUCCGGACUAAUACCGCGUGGUACACCAGUGGGGCAUCCCACUGGUGUUAAAAGGAAGUGAUUCCGGCGGAGGAUGGGCAUGCGGCGCAUUAGCUUGUUGGCGGGGUAACGGCCCACCAAGGCGACGAUGCGUAGGGGUUCUGAGAGGAAGGUCCCCCACACUGGUACUGAGACACGGACCAGACUCCUACGGAAGGCAGCAG
RNAcentral lists this ribosomal RNA (271 nucleotides) under uncultured bacterium. Its description in RNAcentral is "partial 16S ribosomal RNA". It matches the Rfam family "Bacterial small subunit ribosomal RNA", at positions 88 to 354 of the family's 1533-position model. The record is from RNAcentral.